Molecule: ribosomal RNA, 253 nt
Filed under: uncultured bacterium
Lineage: Bacteria
Description: partial 16S ribosomal RNA
Rfam family: Bacterial small subunit ribosomal RNA
Source: RNAcentral
UACGAAGGGGGCUAGCGUUGCUCGGAAUCACUGGGCGUAAAGCGCACGUAGGCGGCUUGUUAAGUCAGGGGUGAAAUCCUGGAGCUCAACUCCAGAACUGCCUUUGAUACUGGCGAGCUUGAGUUCGGGAGAGGUGAGUGGAACUGCGAGUGUAGAGGUGAAAUUCGUAGAUAUUAGGAAGAACACCAGUGGCGAAGGCGGCUCACUGGCCCGGUACUGACGCUGAGGCGCGAAAGCGUGGGGAGCAAACAGG